This 348-nucleotide unclassified non-coding RNA is filed under the name soil metagenome. RNAcentral describes it as "partial contains 5.8S ribosomal RNA, internal transcribed spacer 2, and large subunit ribosomal RNA". The stretch from base 1 to 120 matches the Rfam family "5.8S ribosomal RNA", at positions 35 to 154 of the family's 154-position model. The record is from RNAcentral.
GAUGAAGAACGUAGCGAAAUGCGAUAAGUAAUGUGAAUUGCAGAAUUCAGUGAAUCAUCGAAUCUUUGAACGCACAUUGCGCCCGCUGGUAUUCCGGCGGGCAUGCCUGUUCGAGCGUCAUUUCAACCCUCAAGCCCCCGGGUUUGGUGUUGGGGAUCGGCUCUGCCCUUCUGGGCGGUGCCGCCCCCGAAAUACAUUGGCGGUCUCGCUGCAGCCUCCAUUGCGUAGUAGCUAACACCUCGCAACUGGAACGCGGCGCGGCCAUGCCGUAAAACCCCAACUUCUGAAUGUUGACCUCGGAUCAGGUAGGAAUACCCGCUGAACUUAAGCAUAUCAAUAAGCGGAGGA